AUACGUAGGGGGCGAGCGUUGUCCGGAAUGAUUGGGCGUAAAGGGCGCGUAGGCGGCGCGGUAAGUCUGGAGUGAAAGUCCUGCUUUCAAGGUGGGAAUUGCUUUGGAUACUGCCGCGCUUGAGUGCAGGAGAGGUUAUCGGAAUUCCAGGUGUAGCGGUGAAAUGCGUAGAGAUCGGGAGGAACACCAGUGGCGAAGGCGGGUAACUGGACUGCAACUGACGCUGAGGCGCGAAAGUGUGGGGAGCAAACAGGAUUAGAUACCCUGGUAGUCCACACUGUAAACGAUGAAUGCUAGGUGUAAGAGGUAUCGACCCCUUUUGUGCCGGAGUCAACACAAUAAGCAUUCCGCCUGGGGAGUACGGCCGCAAGGUUGAAACUCAAAUGAAUUGGCGGGG
This 397-nucleotide ribosomal RNA is filed under the name uncultured bacterium. Its description in RNAcentral is "partial 16S ribosomal RNA". It matches the Rfam family "Bacterial small subunit ribosomal RNA", at positions 523 to 918 of the family's 1533-position model. The record is from RNAcentral.